Long non-coding RNA from Protopterus annectens (West African lungfish), 216 nucleotides. RefSeq lists it as uncharacterized. The record is from RefSeq and is a predicted model, not a curated record. The transcript is spliced from 4 exons. NCBI's taxonomy places the organism in Eukaryota, Metazoa, Chordata, Ceratodontiformes, Protopteridae.
GCACUGGAGAGCAAACUGUCUGCAAUAACGGAAGAAUUAGAAAAGGCAAGAGAACUGAAAGCCAUGUUAAGGAACAAACUGGAUGGCAUGAAACAUGAGAAGGCAAAUGAUAACAAAGAGGACGGCAAGGAAAAUGCAAGGAAUCUGAUGGGCCAGUGGACAAAGAUAUUCGGUUAUAAAACCAGGAUGGUGAGACCAAAAACCAGUAGAGUGCUG